Molecule: long non-coding RNA, 1606 nt
Organism: Pipistrellus kuhlii (Kuhl's pipistrelle)
Lineage: Eukaryota; Metazoa; Chordata; Mammalia; Chiroptera; Vespertilionidae
Exons: 3
Source: RefSeq, a predicted model, not a curated record
CUCCUGGCGGGUGGGGGCGGGGCCCAAGGAGGCAAAACGGGGUCCGUGGCCCUUGGGGGGCAUGCCCGGGCUUGCCCAGGCCGACAACGCCGGGCAGAGUCUGGAGAAGCGGGUGUGGGUGGGGGGCGGCCGAGCGGAGAGGGAGAACCGGCGCUGCUCCGGGUCGCCCGGAAGGAUGAGUGAUUUCAGGGGGAAAUUCAAAAGUUCCCCAAAGUUGGAAACUCCCGGAGUUUUCUUUCCUUUCUUUUUCCUUCUUCUUCUUCGUUUUAUUUAUUUAUUUUUAUAUUUUAUUUAUUCAUUUUUUUUUUAUGUUCACCUUGUAAGACUUAGCUGUGGCCGAUCGGUCUCUUCCGAACCGACCUUGUUUGCUCCCCUCCUCCCCCGCACCCGCGCCGCGGGAGGCCGCGGCUGGAAAAACGUCACCCCGGGGCCAAGUCCAGAUUCCUUCGGUUAAAAAAAAAAAAAGGCACAAACACCAAACCACUGAUUACAGGUAUCACAGGAAAGUUUCGAUUUUAUUUUAAAAAAGUAAUCCAAAAUCCAGAGAAGCGAUAUCUAUGGUCACAACGUCAUUUUCGUUUCCUGGAAAUGGUGGGGCUUCACCUGUGUUAGACCAAGUGAAAAAAAAACAACCCACGAACCUUCUGAACGUGCAGGUUUGGGGAAUGGGAGACCUCGGCCUCUGGCAUCCCCACCUCCUUUUCGGAUCCCUCUGGAGUGUUGCGGUUUGCUCCGGAGGACGAGUGCACGCAGCCUUCUCUUACGCCUUCUCACACCAGCAUCCUGUUUGAUUGUGGGGUAAAGCAGACGUGAGUGGACCAGUGCACUUGGCUGUGGACUCUUACGAAUAUCUCUCAAAAUCUGUUUAUGAUUUUGCCAAUCCCAACAGUGUGGUGGUCUGUUGUCUGGCCCGUAUGCCCCCGGGCACCUCGUAUGGCAGUGGUUCUCAACCUUCCUAAUGUCCCGCCCCUUCUAAGAUAGUUCCUCAUGUUGUGGUGACCCCCAACCAUAACAUUACUUUCGUUGUGACUUCAUAACUGUAAUUUCGCUAUUGUUUAUGAAUCGUAAUGUAAAUAUUUGUGUUUUCCGGUGGUCUCAGGCUUUACAGCAGCGGUUCUAGCAGGGUCGCCUGAGACCAUCGGAAAACACAGAUAUUUACAUCACGAUUCAUUAACAGUAGCGAAAUUACGGUUAUGACGUCGCAACGAAAAUAAUGUGAUGGUUGGGGUCGCCACAACAUGAGGAACUGUAUUUAAAAGCACAGAAAGUUGAGAACCACUGAUCUAGACAGAGGAUUUGGGUUACAUACCUGUAUUAAUUAAUAAAUUCAUUGAAUUAUACACUUAAGAAAUACGCAUUUCAUUGUGGGUGUUCAUUGUACAUGUCUGUAAAUUUUACUGAGUGUGUAAACAUUUUCUAAUAAAAUGAUGAGGGGAAGAAUUGAUGAGAACAGAGCCAGUAAAAACAGGAAGACAUACCACUGAGAGCAGAGAAAGGAGCCCGCACCAGGGAAUGCGGGGCCUGGGAAAAGAAGGGCUGAGGGACGCAGGUGAGCUUACCUGUCAUCAAACAUGAGACCAGCCAGUUUGGCUCAGACCAGUCUGGC